This is a long non-coding RNA of Mytilus californianus (California mussel), 555 nucleotides long. RefSeq lists it as uncharacterized. The record is from RefSeq and is a predicted model, not a curated record. NCBI's taxonomy places the organism in Eukaryota, Metazoa, Mollusca, Bivalvia, Mytilida, Mytilidae. The transcript is spliced from 3 exons.
GUUUGAUUUUAAAUGUAAAUAAAUGGUUUUCAUAUCAUCCUAAACUGUACACAUAAGGAUAAUUAAAAACAGAAUCAACAGUGUGUUCUAUAACCAGGAAUACAUUUCUUAAACAUGGACAGCAUCUUAGAAAAUUCAAAAGAGAAAGAAAAGAAAUAUGUUGGUGCUAAAGCAGGCCAAUGGAGAGGUCAUCGAGAUUUAUAUGAAGGGAACAGUGAAUUGUAUGUUGACAUUCUUUCACAACCAGAUAACGGAGAAAUCAAAGGAACCGGCAAUGACAGCUAUUAUGGAAAUUUCGUUUUCAGAGGAUUUUGUGCAGGGAAUAGUACAGUUGCAAUAAAAGCCAAUAGUUUUACUAGAAACAGAACUAUCAGUAUUCUAUAUAAUGGACAGAGAGCAAACGAUGAAUGCAUCAAAGGGAAAUAUGAAAUAAGUUCAAACGAUAGACAUUUACCACUGCUUCACGCAGGAGAAUUUACACUGCGAUGGAUUUCAAACAGUCACUUAUUUGUACAGACAAAUUAGAUUUCAAUAUGAAUAAAUGCAUGCACACUU